Molecule: ribosomal RNA, 515 nt
Filed under: uncultured bacterium
Lineage: Bacteria
Description: partial 16S ribosomal RNA
Rfam family: Bacterial small subunit ribosomal RNA
Source: RNAcentral
GAUGAACGCUGGCGGCGUGCCUAAUACAUGCAAGUCGAGCGAAUGGAUUAAGAGCUUGCUCUUAUGAAGUUAGCGGCGGACGGGUGAGUAACACGUGGGUAACCUGCCCAUAAGACUGGGAUAACUCCGGGAAGCCGGGGCUAAUACCGGAUAACAUUUUUAACGGCAUGGUUCGAAAUUGAAAGGCGGCUCCGGCUGUCACUUAUAGCUGGACCCGCGUCGCAUUAGCUAGUUGGUGAGGUAACGGCUCACCAAGGCAACGAUGCGUAGCCGACCUGGGAGGGUGAUCGGCCACACUGGGACUGAGACACGGCCCAGACUCCUACGGGAGGCAGCAGUAGGGAAUCUUCCGCAAUGGACGAAAGUCUGACGGAGCAACGCCGCGUGAGUGAUGAAGGCUUUCGGGUCGUAAAACUCUGUUGUUAGGGAAGAACAAGUGCUAGUUGAAUAAGCUGGCACCUUGACGGUACCUAACCAGAAAGCCACGGCUAACUACGUGCCAGCCGCCGCGGUAA